CUGGUAUAUGAAAUUCAAGCUAUUUUAUCUAUUGGAUACCUCGGGCAUUCACAAAGUAGUUCUGUGGGAUAGUUUCAUGUACUCAAAUCCCCAUAAAUGUUAGCAGACUUAAAUUUUUGCGUAGCUAUUUCUAGCUUUUUUCACAUCGUUAAUUUAACCCAUAGAAUACUGGCAACACUGGCCAGCAGAGCGAUAGAGAGCGGAGAGCGCGUGAGAGAGACCUUGCUUUAUAUAUUGCAUAAAGUUUGCUCUCCGAGGUCUGUGUGUGUUGGUGCCGAAGAGCGUGCGAGAGAGACGAGAGAGGAGUGCGCGCGCACAGUGUUGCUUUGGAAUUCAUUUUCUGUCGCCUCGGUUGCUGCCUCACAGCUCGCAGCUAAAACAGGGUGGCAACUCAGCGGCGCAACAACCAAAGGCCUCCGGACUCGCACAUUGAAAACGCUGCAGUUGCGUUGUUGCUGCUGCUGCGAGGCAAUAAAAAUAGUACAUAAAACAGCCAGCACACACAAUCUUCCUGCGGCUGUUAAUUUUCCUGGAAAGAGACGUCUCCCGCAUGCUAUUCAACUAAAAAUGGCGCCUAGAAUUUGGAUAAGAAAAGAAUGUGUUCAGAGCGGCGCGACGGGAAGCUUACGUAAGUGCAAAAAGCACCAACAAGGCAGUGGGCGUGCGAAAGAGCCGGCACUAGAGCUGCGAAAACAAGUCGGCAAGAAAACAGGGUGCUCCGCACUCGCACAGCAUAGCGCCACACAACGCGAUCCCCCAAGUAGAGUGCCGUCCCCCUGUAUACGCCAUGAGAGAGCGAACGGCACUCAAACAGACGCACUUGUAUAUACAGGAGGAAGCGACGUCGGCAGCGCUGUCCGGCACUAUUGCAGUACAUAAUGAAAUCGACAAAACCGAAAAUCAGAAACCAAACGGACCACUAGCGGGCUACAACUCUGCCACGGUUACAGUUUGCCGCAGCGAGCACACAGACGCAGCACACUCAUGCACUCCUACAUCCACCUCGCUCACGCACACACACAGCGACGCGUGCGUGUGGAGAGCGGCGGAGGCAGAGUCGUCGGCGGCGGUGCCAGGAAAGAAAACCCGAAAAAAGGCCAAGCAAAGUGCAUCUCACCAUGACAAUGGCGGAAGAGCUGCGGAACCAUACCCACUCGCCGUUGUCGUUGUCGUCCGUAAAAAACACAUGUUCGCAUCUGAAUCCGAAUUCGGCAACCGCCUCCUUCCUUCGCAGGCGAAAAAAAUCUGUAUACGCGAAAAGUUUAGCUGCUAAAAAUCGGUUUGGAGUGUGGAAGGGGAAUUGAUGGCAUGGAAACCUUGCAGUUAUUGAUUCGCCUCGCUCAUUGCGCAAUGAAAUGCAGCGGGGGCGGAAACAGAAAGAGAGAAAGGUUCGACUAAGCGUUAGAGAGCAGGGAGAGCGCUGGCUCUCUCUCCGCAAGGCACCUGCAGCGGCGGUGGCGUUAGGAAAUGCAAAUCACAAGUGCCCAGCCAAACGAGGAGCUGCUGGCUGCUUCCAGCCUCGAAAGUUCAAAGUUCACAUGCAACGCGACGCGGUGCAGCGCAUGUCCACCGACACAGUGCACCGAGUCCCUGGACUGCAGGCAGCUCGGACUUCCAGACGCCGCAGGAAGAUGGCGCUGCCCUGCCUUGGCUUGGAAUGUAUUAAAUUGCGCUGAGGAAUGGAUUCAAUUCUUAGAAGUAACAAACACUACAACACAUACAGCUGAACGAAGCUAAAUAUUAUUAACGCUGAUCGAGGAAAAUUGAGGAUUUUGCGAUUGGGAUGUGUUGUGUUCCGGCAAAAAAAAUUUAUGUAAUUGCCAAUUAGUUUGGCGUUUCGUACGUGGUCAGCGAAUUAUCAGAUAUAUAUUUGUUUCCCACCUUUGUCACCUGAUUUAUUAGUUAUUGCACAUAGAGACACGUGAUAAGUACGAAAUUCAAAAAAUUCAAAUGAACAAUACCUAAAAUUUGAAUGGAAAGAUUUUUUGUAUUCUAAAAGAAUAUGACUUAAAAUUUGUACUUGGAGAAGCAACAAAAUUUUGGAGGUAUAAGAGAAUCUAUGCUAACAUAAGCCAUCAAAUUUGGCUCCAUUUCCAACGUUUAUCAGGAGGUUUACAACAAAUGUUGUGAUUUUAGACACUUGACCCGUCACAAAAAAUUAGAUAUUCAAAAUUUCAAUUCAUUUAUGAAAAUUACAAUGAUUUACAACUUAUAUCUGACAUUUUGGUCAGAUUAAGUUAUAAAUGUGGAACUCAUGGAAAGGUUUAACAACAAAGACUGAUUGUAAGUUAUUUUGAUACAAUUUUACUAUGAAUACAAAUAAAAUGUUCUACAUUCCCAUUAA
Molecule: long non-coding RNA, 2344 nt
Organism: Drosophila kikkawai
Lineage: Eukaryota; Metazoa; Arthropoda; Insecta; Diptera; Drosophilidae
Source: RefSeq, a predicted model, not a curated record